RNAcentral lists this ribosomal RNA (409 nucleotides) under Verrucomicrobiales bacterium. RNAcentral's name for it is "bacterial SSU rRNA". It matches the Rfam family "Bacterial small subunit ribosomal RNA", at positions 1 to 403 of the family's 1533-position model. Lineage: Bacteria; Pseudomonadati; Verrucomicrobiota; Verrucomicrobiia; Verrucomicrobiales. The record is from RNAcentral.
AUAACGGAGAGUUUGAUUCUGGCUCAGAACGAACGCUGGCGGCGUGGAUAAGACAUGCAAGUCGAACGCUCGUUUCAGGGUAGCAAUAUUCUGGGGCGGGAGUGGCGCAAGGGUGCGUAACACGUGGGUCAUUUGCCGCGAAGCUGGGGAUAACUCGUUGAAAGACGAGCUAAUACCCAAUGUGCUCCGCAAGGAGUAAAGCCGGGGACCGCAAGGCCUGGCACUUCGCGAUAAGCCCGCGGCCUAUCAGCUAGUUGGCGGGGUAACGGCCCACCAAGGCUAAGACGGGUAGCUGGUCUGAGAGGACGACCAGCCACACUGGAACUGAGACACGGUCCAGACACCUACGGGUGGCAGCAGUCGAGAAUUUUUCACAAUGGGCGAAAGCCUGAUGGAGCGACGCCGCGUG